This 497-nucleotide ribosomal RNA is filed under the name uncultured bacterium. RNAcentral describes it as "partial 16S ribosomal RNA". It matches the Rfam family "Bacterial small subunit ribosomal RNA", at positions 28 to 507 of the family's 1533-position model. The record is from RNAcentral.
GAUGAACGCUGGCGGCGUGCCUAAUACAUGCAAGUCGAGCGAACGGACGAGAAGCUUGCUUCUCUGAUGUUAGCGGCGGACGGGUGAGUAACACGUGGAUAACCUACCUAUAAGACUGGGAUAACUUCGGGAAACCGGAGCUAAUACCGGAUAAUAUUUUGAACCGCAUGGUUCAAAAGUAAAAGACGGUCUUGCUGUCACUUAUAGAUGGAUCCGCGCUGCAUUAGCUAGUUGGUAAGGUAACGGCUUACCAAGGCAACGAUGCAUAGCCGACCUGAGAGGGGGAGCGGCCACACGGGAAGGGAGAAAGGGCCGAGACUCCACGGGGAGGCCGCAGGAGGGAAUCUUCCGAAAGGGGCGAAGGCCUGAGGGAGCAACGCGGGGGGAGGGAUGAAGGUCUGCGGAUCGUAAAACUUUUUUAUGGGGGAAGAAAAUAUGUGUAAGUACCUUUGCACGCCUGGAGGGUACAUAAUAAGAAAGCCAGGGCUAACUACGGG